Long non-coding RNA from Octodon degus (degu), 342 nucleotides. RefSeq lists it as uncharacterized. The transcript is spliced from 3 exons. NCBI's taxonomy places the organism in Eukaryota, Metazoa, Chordata, Mammalia, Rodentia, Octodontidae. The record is from RefSeq and is a predicted model, not a curated record.
UUUGUUGUCACGAUGUAGUCAGAGAAAUGCUUGGCUUUUAGUGUAGCCAAACGUGAACUUCAGAAACGGCAUUGCAUAGACAAGUAUCUGCAUCCACAUUCCAAAAAACCUUGGAUAAUUGGACAUCAUGCUGAAUUCUAAGAAGAAAUUGUUGACCGCUUACAUAUGUUAGCAAAACAACUUCAGCACUAUUAAGCAAAAACAAAAAGAUCGGGAAUGAUUGAGAUACAGAGCCCUGGUUGCCUACAUAUGUUAGACUAGAAAUGAAGCAAGCCCAAGUAAGGAGAUGAAGACAUAUGAAUUGAAGCCACUUCUCAGAUGAAAUCAACAAUACGCAUGAGC